ACUGGGAGUCCUAUUUCGAUCCAAUCAAAAUCAAAUCAAAUCAGAUUUGAUCUCAAUCAAAAAUAGACAUAAGAGAGAUGGUGUAGAGAUACUUGGGUUGAUCCAACCACAUGCCAAAUCAGAUUUGACAUUGGGCUUAGGUAGUGCAAAAAGAGAGGUGGCACCAGGGAGAAAUCCUAAUCUAAUUAGGAUUCAUUUGUUUGCUAAUU
This 209-nucleotide long non-coding RNA is filed under the name Elaeis guineensis (African oil palm). Its description in RNAcentral is "long non-coding RNA (EGUI_LNC054035)". The record is from RNAcentral. Lineage: Eukaryota; Viridiplantae; Streptophyta; Magnoliopsida; Arecales; Arecaceae.